Molecule: unclassified non-coding RNA, 200 nt
Filed under: soil metagenome
Description: partial contains internal transcribed spacer 2 and large subunit ribosomal RNA
Source: RNAcentral
ACUUGCUUCACCGGCUCCCCUUGAAUGCAUUAGCUCCGGCUCCUCCCAGCGAAGGGAAUGUCCCCAUAGCGUGAUAACUAUCUGCGCUUUGGGCUUCACUCUGCUGGGUUGAAUCCAUGGGUCGGGCUUAUAAUCGUCCUCUCUGGGACAAAAUCACUCAAUUUGACCUCAAAUCAGGUAGGACUACCCGCUGAACUUAA